RNAcentral lists this ribosomal RNA (324 nucleotides) under uncultured eukaryote. RNAcentral describes it as "partial 18S ribosomal RNA". It matches the Rfam family "Eukaryotic small subunit ribosomal RNA", at positions 1470 to 1796 of the family's 1831-position model. The record is from RNAcentral.
CCCUUAGAUGUCCUGGGCUGCACGCGCGCUACACUGAUGUGUCCAGUAAGCACCUAACCUCUUCCGAAAGGAACGGGUAACCUUUGCAAAGCACAUCGUGAUGGGGAUAGAUUAUUGCAAUUAUUAGUCUUGAACGAGGAAUUCCUAAUAAGCACAAGUCAUCAGCUUGUGUUGAUUACGUCCCUGCCCUUUGUACACACCGCCCGUCGCUCCUACCGAUUGAAUGUUCCGGUGAGCUCUUCGGACUGCGCGGUCUGCAGUUUCUGCGUUCCGUGCGGAAAGUUGCGCAAACCUUAACAUUUAGAGGAAGGAGAAGUCGUAACA